AGAGAGAGAGAGAGAGGGAGAGAGGGAAAAUCACAAACAUGGUGGUGUAGUAGAAAAGAAGGAGAGGGGGCUGGUCAGCAGUUGCUGACGCACACCACCGGUUGGUUCAUUGAAGUUCUCCAUUGAGGAGGUAUCGAUGAGCCCUUUCCUUCGAUUACUCGUUUCAUCGGUUAACAACAAGUAGAGUAGGUUUGGUGGUAAGUCCGACUCGAAAGAGAAAGAAGCAAGAAACAAGAAGCAAGAAGAAGAAGCAGAAGAAGAAGGAAACCUAAGCCACGAGUAUUUGUUGGGUAAGAUUGAAGGAAAGUCGUGUAUGCGUAAUAGCGUUUAGCGUCCUUACGUGUGAAUGCGUAUGUGUGUGAGAGAGAGAGAGAGAUAGAGAGAUAAGGGUAAAAGCUUUUGAGGAUUUGGAAAAGCUCGAACAGCAGCAGCAGCAGAUCUCUCAGCGCAGGCAGGCAGGCAGGCAGGGAAGGGUAGGUGGUAGUUGUCGAGUUCGAGGGAGGGGGUUGUUGCGAACGGUGCGGCUAUAAAAGGGUGGAAUUGGAAGGGAGCAAGAGGGGUAGCGACCACGAGAAACUAGUUCUCGUGGGAUCCGCUGCGCGAGUUUGGCGCGUGGCGAUGCAGUAACGUCCGCGUCGCUCGUUUCGUCUGUGCCGCGACAGUCCUCCCGGAACGAGCUUUUCGUCGUCGCGAAAACAAGUGGUGUGGAGAGAGAGAGAGAGAGAGAGGGGGGGAGAUAGGAAGAUCAAAA
RNAcentral lists this long non-coding RNA (751 nucleotides) under Polistes fuscatus (common paper wasp). Its description in RNAcentral is "uncharacterized LOC122518106". The record is from RNAcentral. Lineage: Eukaryota; Metazoa; Arthropoda; Insecta; Hymenoptera; Vespidae.